This 334-nucleotide ribosomal RNA is filed under the name uncultured eukaryote. Its description in RNAcentral is "partial 18S ribosomal RNA". It matches the Rfam family "Eukaryotic small subunit ribosomal RNA", at positions 1470 to 1796 of the family's 1831-position model. The record is from RNAcentral.
CCCUUAGAUGUCCGGGGCCGCACGCGCGCUACACUGAAGGAAUCAACGUGGCUUUCUCCCUGACCCGAAAGGGUUGGGAAACCCGUUGAAUCUCCUUCGUGAUAGGGAUUGGGGCUUGAAAUUGUUCCCCAUGAACGAGGAAUUCCCAGUAAGCGCGAGUCAUAAGCUCGCGUUGAUUACGUCCCUGCCCUUUGUACACACCGCCCGUCGCUACUACCGAUUGAACGGUUUAGUGAGGGCCUCGGAUUGGUCUCGGCCCGCUCUUUACCGGGCGGCGCCGUUGGUCGAGAAGACGCUCGAACUUGAUCGUUUAGAGGAAGUAAAAGUCGUAACA